GACGAGCCACACAAACGUUAUUCGGAAUUACUGGGCUUAAAGGGUGCGUAGGCUGCGCGGAAAGUUGGGUGUGAAAUCCCUCGGCUCAACCGAGGAACUGCGCCCAAAACUACCGUGCUCGAGGAAGAUAGAGGUAAGCGGAACUUACGGUGGAGCGGUGAAAUGCGUUGAUAUCGGGAGGAACACCAGUGGCGAAGGCGGCCUUCUGGACGGACACUGACGCUGAGACGCGAAAGCGUGGGUAGCAAACAGG
Molecule: ribosomal RNA, 253 nt
Filed under: uncultured bacterium
Lineage: Bacteria
Description: partial 16S ribosomal RNA
Rfam family: Bacterial small subunit ribosomal RNA
Source: RNAcentral